Molecule: ribosomal RNA, 444 nt
Filed under: uncultured bacterium
Lineage: Bacteria
Description: bacterial SSU rRNA
Rfam family: Bacterial small subunit ribosomal RNA
Source: RNAcentral
CACGGGGGGAACGCGAAGAACCUUACCAGGUCUUGACAUACCAUUGACCGUCCUAGAGAUAGGAUUUUCCCUUCGGGGACAAUGGAUACAGGUGGUGCAUGGUUGUCGUCAGCUCGUGUCGUGAGAUGUUGGGUUAGGUCCCGCAACGAGCGCAACCCCUGUCGUUAGUUGCCAGCAUUCAGUUGGGGACUCUAACGAGACUGCCAGUGACAAACUGGAGGAAGGUGGGGAUGACGUCAAAUCAUCAUGCCCCUUAUGACCUGGGCUACACACGUGCUACAAUGGUUGGUACAAAGAGAAGCGAAGCGGUGACGUGGAGCAAACCUCAUAAAGCCAAUCUCAGUUCGGAUUGUAGGCUGCAACUCGCCUACAUGAAGUUGGAAUCGCUAGUAAUCGCGAAUCAGAAUGUCGCGGUGAAUACGUUCCCGGGUCUUGUACACACCG